This 441-nucleotide long non-coding RNA is filed under the name Homo sapiens (human). Its description in RNAcentral is "HTR2A antisense RNA 1 (HTR2A-AS1)". Lineage: Eukaryota; Metazoa; Chordata; Mammalia; Primates; Hominidae. The record is from RNAcentral.
CCUAGUGCCUCCAGAAAGAACGCAGCCCUACUGACACCUUGGUUUUGGCCUGGUGAGACCAACUUUGGACUUUUCACUUCCAAAACUGUUUAAAGAAAAAAGUCUACAGUUCCAGUUAGUCUACUUUUGUAACAGGACCUGACAACUCCACUCUACUUCCAAUCCUGAAAGACUACAGGAAAAACUAGCCCAAGUGACUGAGCUGGGGGGUCCCAGUCAUCGGUAGCAUGGAAAACGAAGAGUGCUCUGGACAGUGGGUGGAGAAGAUUCAAGUACAUCUUCCUUGCUGACAAUAUGCUCUCCUAUCUUUUGUAAGAGUACACAAUUUAAAUUUCUAAAAAUUCAUUACAAUACAAAGCAAAACAAUCCCUCGUAGAUUUAUAAUCAAACUAAUAUGCCACUUAGAAAAGAUUUGAAAUAAAUGCAAAUACCUAGGUACAA